This is a long non-coding RNA of Ipomoea triloba (trilobed morning glory), 791 nucleotides long. RefSeq lists it as uncharacterized. The transcript has 2 exons. The record is from RefSeq and is a predicted model, not a curated record. Lineage: Eukaryota; Viridiplantae; Streptophyta; Magnoliopsida; Solanales; Convolvulaceae.
GGCCGACAGUCGGAAUUUCAUCUCCACCAACGGUCGGUCAUCUUCUCUGGAGAAGACGACGACACUGUUCCCAGACAGUUUUGCUUCUUUAAUCCUGGAGCGCACAAACUGUAUUGCUUCUUUAUGGCAAAAUCAGACUUAUAAUCGCCUGAAACUUCAUCUUCCCAGACAGUUUUGUGAGCUUCCAUAUUUCCCAUUCCCAAAAGACUUCCAAGAGUACCCUACAAAAUACAAGUUUAUCCAGUACCUCGAGUGCGGUUUCAGAUCAGCCCAAGAUUCAACGAGACAGUGCAGUCCGCUAAGUACGAUGAAAGCUGCGGGUUUUGGCGAAUCAAGACGGUGCCGGGUGAUUGUUUUGUGAGUGAGUACAUCUGCCGGUGGCUGGUGGCGGCGAGCGGCGAAAACGCCGAGAAAUUUGCGCCGGAAUUUGAGGCGAUAAGGGUUUUCGGUGGCCCUGUCAUGCAUGCUUGUGAGUAUAAAUUGGGAGAGGAUUAUGAAGGGAAACGUGUUCUGGUAAUUGGGUGCAGAAAUUCCGGCAUGGAAGUUUCCUUGGAUCUUUGCCACACAAUGCAAUCCCAUCAAUGGUGGAUUGGUGGUUCGCAGCUCAGCAACAGUGCGGUGGAGAAGACGACCAGCCGUUGGUUGGGGAUGAAAUUUCAGCCGCCGACUGCCGGAAUCUUGGUCGGAAAAAUUAUGACCGGCCGGUCAUAUGGGUUUAAAUGACCCAAAACUACAAGUUGGUGUGUUUAAUUGAAUUUUUUGAAUCUUCAUUUUUGGGUAAUGUUUGAGGA